Molecule: long non-coding RNA, 933 nt
Organism: Ctenopharyngodon idella (grass carp)
Lineage: Eukaryota; Metazoa; Chordata; Actinopteri; Cypriniformes; Xenocyprididae
Exons: 4
Source: RefSeq, a predicted model, not a curated record
UACCGUCGGUACUUCUCCUGGGUGUUUCCGGCUCAAUAUCUUGGUCCUUCAUUGCACCCUGAUCUGAGCUCUUGUUUUUGGUGGAUUUUUUCUUCCCACCGAAAGAGAGCCACUUAAAGAAGUUGCCCACUUUCUUGUUCUUUUUCGGGCGCGAGUUGGGAAGCACGUCUCCCUCUCCCUCAGCAACAUCAACAGGCUUCUCAUCAGGCCGAUGAGGAUGUUUCUCCGCCGUGCUGCUGCUGCUGGGGUUUGGGUCGUAAACCUGCUCGCCAUCCGUAAAAGAUCGUACUCGUGAACUUCUCUGUCCCAUGAUGAACCACUGAUGGUAUCAAUCAAUCAGACUAGAUCAGCUACAAACCGAGUGAUGAGAGAGAGAGUCGCGUCCCUUCAGUUCAGUGGGCCUGGUGUACACGAGUGAGUGGGAAAACAAACCAGAGAAACAACAGUAGACUUCUUCCUACACAUCUUACAUCUUCCUAAAUCACCUCUACAAGUGUUCACCAUAUAUCUCUGUAAAAAUUUUGCUGCUGUAGACCUCUUGGUGCCUGGAGUGGGGGAGCUUUUGUGGAUCCCUGACUGCGUCUGAAAUCACAUACUUCACUACUGUAAAGUAGGCGAAAAACAGACCCUGCGGUCACAGUGUAAGUACUUAUUCAAAACAAGUACCCACUCAAGAGAGAAUGCCAUUUCGGACGCAGCCGCUGAGAGACGAGAGACUAGAACUUUUGAGUCAACGACUAGCACUGUAAGAAUAUUUCCUUUUUAUAAAUAUACUGAAAAAAAAAUGGUGUAGAAACAGUUUUCACUCAGAAUUUGCUAGUGAAUUUCACAAUUAAUUACAAAGAAACCGAAAGCAAGACAUUGAAUUAUAUGUGAAAUUUUGAAGUAGAAAGUCUCAAACAGUAUUUUCUUGUAAAUCACUCUAGUAACCCU